RNAcentral lists this long non-coding RNA (466 nucleotides) under Carica papaya (papaya). RNAcentral describes it as "long non-coding RNA (CPAP_LNC006292)". Lineage: Eukaryota; Viridiplantae; Streptophyta; Magnoliopsida; Brassicales; Caricaceae. The record is from RNAcentral.
GAGAAAAGAAUGGUGAUCACGGUGAUAUAAAAAUUGCAUCGAACGGAGGCCGGGAAGGGCCUCGUCGGAGGCAAAAACCGAGAGGGGGCGCGGCGGCACCGCUGGGCUUCGGCCGCGUAUUUCGGCCGUUUGGCCGGGAUUUCGGCUUCGAUUUGGCCAUAGGAGGAAUCAGUGGGGAAAAACGAGUCGGGAGUAUGAAAUUUACCUCGAUCGGCGGUCGGAAAUUUCCCCGGUGCGGCGGCGAGUGGCGGCGGGUGGCGGCGGUCGGCCUCUGGUUCGUCUUCUCCGGCGAGCGGCUGGCGGCUAGGGUUUGUGGUCUGGUGUGGGGGUUCUAUUUAUAACCCCUUGCCUUUUGAUCACAGCCGUUCAUUUUAUUUUAAUCUGGGCCGUUCGUUUUUGAUUGAAUCUGGGCCGUCCGUGCGUUUGAAUCUGGGCCGUCCGAUCGCGCGAUUGAUUUGGGCCGUCG